Molecule: ribosomal RNA, 492 nt
Filed under: uncultured bacterium
Lineage: Bacteria
Description: partial 16S ribosomal RNA
Rfam family: Bacterial small subunit ribosomal RNA
Source: RNAcentral
AGUGAACGCUGGCGGUAGGCCUAACACAUGCAAGUCGAACGGCAGCACAGUAAGAGCUUGCUCUUACGGGUGGCGAGUGGCGGACGGGUGAGGAAUACAUCGGAAUCUACUUUUUCGUGGGGGAUAACGUAGGAAAACUUACGCUAAUACCGCAUACGACCUACGGGUGAAAGCAGGGGAUCUUCGGACCUUGCGCGAUUGAAUGAGUCGAUGUCGGAUUAGCUAGUUGGCGGGGUGAAGGCCCACCAAGGCGACGAUCCGUAGCUGGUCUGAGAGGAUGAUCAGCCACACUGGAACUGAGACACGGUCCAGACUCCUACGGGAGGCAGCAGUGGGGAAUAUUGGACAAUGGGCGCAAGCCUGAUCCAGCCAUACCGCGUGGGUGAAGAAGGCCUUCGGGUUGUAAAGCCCUUUUGUUGGGAAAGAAAAGCAGCAGGUUAAUACCCCGCUGUUCUGACGGUACCCAAAGAAUAAGCACCGGCUAACUUCGUG